Non-coding RNA from Rattus norvegicus (Norway rat), 1643 nucleotides. The record is from RefSeq and is a predicted model, not a curated record. Lineage: Eukaryota; Metazoa; Chordata; Mammalia; Rodentia; Muridae.
GCAAGCUGGUAACACUCCUCAAGGUCUUUACAUCAGCUCCUGAUUUAGGUUCCUGACAUGUUUGAGUUUCUAUUCUUACUUCUUUUGAUCACAGACAGUGUUGAUGAAAGAGUAAGCCAAAAAUAUCGUUUCCACACCAAGUUGCUUUGGUCAUGGUGUUUCAACACAAUAAUCCUAAUCCUAACUAAGACACCUGCCUUCUGCUUAUUUAAAUCCAGCCUGUCUUCAACCCCUGAUCUAUGUCAGUCUUCUUUUCAGGCCUUCUCAGAUUUCAUUAUCAAAUUCUCUCUUUUUUCCCAUCAUAAUUGGACCUUGGUAUAUCAAGAAUAUGUCUUUCUCAAGCUAUCUAUGAAGCAAUGGUCUAUUAAACAACCAUCUCUGUGGAACCCAGGAUAAUGAUCAAGACCUUUCAGGCCUCUUAAUGUAGCCUACAAUGUUUAACCCACUCUAAGAAGUCUACACAUAAUCAAACGGUAUGCAGUAUACUUAGAAGGUAGUUCACUUCUCAGUCGUCAAUAUAACUAAAAUGCCUGAUCAAAAGUGGUUUCCUAGUUCCAUGUCACUGAUCUGAGAAGUGACCUGAAUCUCAAUAAUCUCUCGGAAGCAUUUUCAAAACUACACCACAUUUCUCUAUCAAACAAAUGAAACAAGUUAUUUUUACCUGUGUAAAUACUCUCCCAUUAGUUUUCAUGGCUCAUAUUUCUUGAGGAGAAAUCUUGGUAGUGUUCAUGAAGCCUUGCCCUUCUCCAAACCCGACUUGCCUUUAGUUUGUCCCAGCACAACACCAUUCACUAGCUGACAUUCAAACCUAACUCAAGAGUCCAUGGCCCGGAGGGGCAAAGAAAUAUAUUCAAUGGACCUGAGACACACUAAGUGUUCAGUUGCCAUGUGCAAGUGUAUGUGGGCAUUUGUUAAGAGGGAAGCUUGAUUAGACUCAAACGGUCCAAAAUUUCAAAGAAAUGAAAAGCACCAACUUGACCAUCUGCUUAGGUCCCUGAAGAUGCCCUCAGCUUUAUGGAGAAUAUUAGAGUCUUGAUGGGUUGAAACCCCUGUAAAUGGAAUGUAACUCAAAGAGAACAUUCUCUACAGACACUCAAGACGGAGAACCUGCUGAGCAUAUGGCACCACGUGAAGGAGGAGGUGAACCAGGGGAAACUGUAGCAAUGGAAACUCGACAAAGAUGUAGACUCAAGAAAGAUGCUAAAGCUCAGCAUCAGAAAGGAAACCAGGGACGAUCCUGUACUAUUUGAUCUCUCCAAGUCCAGCCGCCACACACUUGUGCAGGAAGGACAAGACACUGAGGACCUCCUGCCCAGGAUUGAUACCACCUGCAGUGAACUGGGUCUUCCAACUCAACUGGGUCAAUCAUCAAUCAACACUCUAAAGGCUUGCCUGGAAGCCAAUCUGGGAAAAUACAAACAAAAAUGAGGAGGAAAUGAAGAAAGCCAAGAUUUGUUUUGAAAUGUUUGGUUGUCCUCUUGAAGGCUUGGUCUUUUCUGAUGGGACAUAGAGGGGGAGUGGAUCUGUGGGAGAGAGGAGGUGAGAGGGAUCUGGGAGAGGUUGAGGAAUGGAAAGCAGUGGUUGGGAGAUAUUGUAUGAGGGAAGAUUCUAUUUUCAAUAAAAGGAAAAAAUGUGAGAAACAA